GACGAACGCUGGCGGCGUGCCUAAUACAUGCAAGUAGAACGCUAAAGCUUGGUGCUUGCACCGAGCGGAUGAGUUGCGAACGGGUGAGUAACGCGUAGGUAACCUGCCUGGUAGCGGGGGAUAACUAUUGGAAACGAUAGCUAAUACCGCAUAAGAGUAGAUGUUGCAUGACAUUUGCUUAAAAGGUGCAAUUGCAUCACUACCAGAUGGACCUGCGUUGUAUUAGCUAGUUGGUGAGGUAACGGCUCACCAAGGCAACGAUACAUAGCCGACCUGAGAGGGUGGUCGGCCACACUGGGACUGUGACACGGUCCAGACGCCUACGGGAGGCAGCAGUAGGGAAUCUUCGGCAAUGGACGGAAGUCUGACCGAGCAACGCCGCGGGAGGGAAGAAGGUUGUCGGAUCGUAAAGCUCUGUUGUAAGGGAAGAACGAGUGUGAGAGUGGAAAGUUCACACUGUGACGGUAUCUUACCAGAAAGGGACGGCUAACUACGUG
Molecule: ribosomal RNA, 497 nt
Filed under: uncultured bacterium
Lineage: Bacteria
Description: partial 16S ribosomal RNA
Rfam family: Bacterial small subunit ribosomal RNA
Source: RNAcentral